CGUCUAUAUACGUAUAGCAUAUCAAUAAGCGGAGGAAAAGAAACUAACAAGGAUUCCCCUAGUAACGGCGAGUGAAGCGGGAAGAGCUCAAAUUUGAAAUCUUAAAGGGUUUCCCUUUACGAAUUGUAGUUUAAAGAAGUGUUUUCUGUUGGAGUUUCGGUAAAAGUUCUUUGGAAUAGGACAUCAUAGAGGGUGAGAAUCCCGUAUUUGACCGUUACUUUCCAGCUGUGUGAUACACUUUCAAAGAGUCGGAUUGUUUGGGAAUGCAGUCCAAGAUGGGUGGUAAAUUUCAUCUAAAGCUAAAUAUUGGCGAGAGACCGAUAGCGAACAAGUACCGUGAGGGAAAGAUGAAAAGAACUUUGAAAAGAGAGUUAAACAGUACGUGAAAUUGUCAAAAGGGAAGCGUUUGACACCAGUGUUGUUUAGUUGAAAAUCAAUUCAAUAGUUUUUGAUUCUAAGUAGUAUUGACUUCAUCGGCUUGCUUCUUUCUUUACGAAACUUUCUUAAUGCACUUUUCGGUUAACAAGUCAACAUCAAUUUCUUUUGUUGUAAAAGGGUAUGAGGAGGGUGGCUUUCUUUUCGGAGAAAGUGUUUAUAGCCUUGUGCCUCUGCAAUCGGAGAGAUUGAGGUCUGCAGCGUAGAUCCUUCGGGGUUAGAUACGUUUGUGCUAAGUUAUAGCUUUUCAUAGACAACUUGUUGACUAUGUUUAGUCUUGUAGCUUACUCGCUUACGCUAUUUUACCUACGCUUAGGAUGUUGACGAUCAGCUGAGCGCG
This 775-nucleotide ribosomal RNA is filed under the name uncultured Neocallimastigales. RNAcentral's name for it is "partial large subunit ribosomal RNA". It matches the Rfam family "Eukaryotic large subunit ribosomal RNA", at positions 26 to 628 of the family's 3401-position model. The record is from RNAcentral. Lineage: Eukaryota; Fungi; Neocallimastigomycota; Neocallimastigomycetes; Neocallimastigales.